GAGAGGCGCCCCCCGGCCCGCUCCCGCCCGCGCUGCCUUUCCCCGGCCUGCCGAUCUGGCCCGGAGUGUCUCCAGAAAUCUUUGCUAGUAUACCAUCUCUGCAGGUCAGCAUAGUGUGCCCAUGGCCCUCAAAAGAUGAAGGAGGAAUCCUGGAGUCAGAAACUGGCUUCUGAUCUGUCAGUCUGCUUCCUGUGAAAUCAGCUACCUCCUGAAUAUGUAUGUGCCAGCUUAGUAGCUCAGUGAAAAAUUGGGUAUCAUACAUGCCCUAGGAGAGCUGUCAGCCUGUCCCUGCUUCAUUUCAGUUGUGCUGCA
Molecule: long non-coding RNA, 312 nt
Filed under: Dromaius novaehollandiae (emu)
Lineage: Eukaryota; Metazoa; Chordata; Aves; Casuariiformes; Dromaiidae
Description: lncRNA (ENSDNVG00000007749.1)
Source: RNAcentral